GCGGGCCUAACACAUGCAAGUCGAGCGAGAAAGGGGCUUCGGCCCUGAGUAAAGCGGCGGACGGGUGAGUAACACGUAGGUAAUCUUCCCUUGAGCGGGGGACAACGUUCCGAAAGGGACGCUAAUACCGCAUAAGUCUCCGAGGACUCUGGUUCUUGGAGGGAAAGCUAGGUAGCAAUAUCCGGCACUCGAGGAGGAGACUGCGUCGCAUCAGCUAGUUGGUGGGGUAACGGCCUACCAAGGCGAAGACGCGUAGCUGGUCUGAGAGGAUGAUCAGCCACACUGGGACUGAGACACGGCCCAGACUCCUACGGGAGGCAGCAGUGGGGAAUAUUGGACAAUGGGCGCAAGCCUGAUCCAGCCACGCCGCGUGAGUGAUGAAGGCCUUCGGGUCGUAAAGCUCUGUGGGGAGGGACGGACCGCUGGAGGUUAAUAGCUUCCAGCAUGACGGUACCUCCUUAGCAAGCACCGGCUAACUUCGUGCCAGCAGCCGCGGUAAUACGAAGGGUGCAAACGUUGCUCGGAAUUAUUGGGCGUGAAGCGCACGUAGGCGGCUCUAUAAGUUGGAUGUGAAAUCCCUCGGCUCAACCAAGGAAGUGCAUCCAAAACUGUGGAGCUUGAGUACUAAAGAGGAUCGCGGAAUUCCCGGUGUAGAGGUGAAAUUCGUAGAUAUCGGGAGGAACACCAGUGGCGAAGGCGGCGAUCUGGGUAGACACUGACGCUGAGGUGCGAAAGCG
Molecule: ribosomal RNA, 737 nt
Filed under: uncultured soil bacterium
Lineage: Bacteria
Description: bacterial SSU rRNA
Rfam family: Bacterial small subunit ribosomal RNA
Source: RNAcentral